This is a long non-coding RNA of Oncorhynchus tshawytscha (Chinook salmon), 550 nucleotides long. The record is from Ensembl. NCBI's taxonomy places the organism in Eukaryota, Metazoa, Chordata, Actinopteri, Salmoniformes, Salmonidae.
CCAGGUAGUUUAUAUCCAGGUAGUUUAUCUUUAUAUCUAUGCAGUUUAUAUCUAGGUAGUUUAUCUUAAUAUCUAGGUAGUUUAUCUUUAUAUAUAGGUAGUUUAUAUGAUGUAGUUUAUCUUUAUAUCUAGGUAGUUUAUAUCUAUAUAGUUUAUCUUUAUAUCUAGGUAGUUUAUAUCUAGGUACUUUAUAUUUAUAUCUAGGUAGUUUAUAUCUAGGUAGUUUAUAUUUAUAUCUAUAUAGUUUAUAUCUAGGUAGUUUAUAUCUACAUAAUUUAUCUUUAUAUCUAGGUAGUUCAUAUCUAGGUAGUUUAUAUUUAUAUCUGGGUAGUUUAUCUUUAUAACUAGGUAGUUCCUAUCCAGGUAGUUUAUCUUUAUAUCAAGGUAGUUUAUCUUUAUAUCUAGGUAGUUUAUCUAUAUAUAUCUAUAUAGUUUAUCUUUAUAUCCAGAUAGUUUAUCUUUAUAUCUAGGUAGUUUAUAUCUACGUAGUUUAUAUCUAUAUAAUUUAUCUGUAUAUCUAUGUAGUUUAUAUCUACGUAGUUUAUAUCUA